AUUGAACGCUGGCGGCAGGCCUAACACAUGCAAGUCGAACGAGUGGCGGACGGGUGAGUAAUGUCUGGGAAACUGCCUGAUGGAGGGGGAUAACUACUGGAAACGGUAGCUAAUACCGCAUACCAUCAGAUGUGCCCAGAUGGGAUUAGCUUGUUGGUGGGGUAACGGCUCACCAAGGCGACGAUCCCUAGCUGGUCUGAGAGGAUUACCAGCCACACUGGAACUGAGGCACGUUCCAGGCUCCUACGGGAGACAGCAGUGGCGAAUAUUUCACAAGGGGCUCAAGCCUGAUGCGACCAUGCCGCGUGUAUGAAGAAGGCAUUCGGGUUUUAAAGUACAUUCAGCGGGGAGUCGUUACCCGCAGAAGAAGCACCGGCUAACUCCGUGCCAGCCGCCGCGGUAAUUC
This 406-nucleotide ribosomal RNA is filed under the name uncultured bacterium. RNAcentral's name for it is "partial 16S ribosomal RNA". It matches the Rfam family "Bacterial small subunit ribosomal RNA", at positions 30 to 526 of the family's 1533-position model. The record is from RNAcentral.